Quercus lobata is the source of this 686-nucleotide long non-coding RNA. RefSeq lists it as uncharacterized. NCBI's taxonomy places the organism in Eukaryota, Viridiplantae, Streptophyta, Magnoliopsida, Fagales, Fagaceae. The transcript is spliced from 3 exons. The record is from RefSeq and is a predicted model, not a curated record.
CCAAGAAAUAUAUUCAAUAACUCAAAAAGAUUACAAAGAGUCUCGAGUUUGAAGUUAGAAACAUUGAACAAGAGGAGUACAGGUCAUUUAUGUGGCUUUCAAAUCUAGAGAGGAUCAUCGGAAGCAGCUUGAAUUGGAGGAAGCGCGUAAAGCGGGGCUUGCACCAGCAGAGGUUGAUGAAGAUGGAAAAGAGAUUAACCCUCACAUUCCUCAGUAUAUGUCGUCUGCACCUUGGUAUCUUAAUGCUGAGAGACCAAGUUUAAAACAGGAUCCAAAUUAUACAAAAUCCUGGUAUGAUAGAGGUGCAAAAAUAUUUCAGGCAGAUAAGUACAGGAAGGGAGCAUGUGAAAAGUAAGUGGACCUUGCUCGUACUGUUUCCAAGUUCAUGUUGGUUGCACUAAGGAAUUUUACAUUCUUGACUGAGAUAUGGAAAAAUACUUUCAGUAUUGGGCAUGAAAAGUUUAUUGAUAGUGUAAUAGUGAUAAUGACUGGGGGGACCUGUCUGUAGCACUAUAGGUCUCCAUUGCUCAUAACUCUCAUGGGCAUUAGAUGAAAAAUACAAAUUGAGGUUGUAUUUUUUGAGGUGUUGCCAGAGCACUUACUGCCCUUGGGCAUUAAGUAGCCUUGGGUAACUAGUACUAAGCAGAGUCAUAAUCAGCUUAUCAUCCUAAGUAUUACCUUUCCUC